GCAGCUGGAGCUCCUUGUCCAGGGCCCUGUUGUGGGGACAAAGGCACGAAUCAAUGCAUUCUCGGUUCUUUUGUCCUAAAUAAUUGGCUUCCAUUAAGUGGGCUGGACGAGUGAGGCACUCACAGGAACAGGAGCCUGGAACUUAUGAAAAUGGAUCUGAGGGAGGAGCCAGGAGGAGCAGCUCUGAGGGGCCCCCAGGGGUCCACCCUCCCACCGCCACCUUGGGAAGGGGUCUCGACCUCUCUGGGCUUAGUUUCCGCCUCUGCAGACAGAGUGGGGGCGAGGGGACUGCUGGCUGGGGGUUUUCAAAUUGCACUUGGCAAAGCCCUGGGGGUCCACGGGUCUGGUGCGGAGCAGGACUCCGGACAGACCCUCCAGAACUCAGCUGGAGCAGCCCCUUCUCUCUACCUGUUUCACGUAUUGGGCUGUUUCUUUCCAUUUUAAUUUGAGCAAAAGACACCCAGCCAAAAAAAAAAAAAGCAUUUGAAACCACUAGACAGGGGAUAGUUAGGGUCCAUCCCAGCUCUAGAACUUUCCAGAUCCCACCUUGAGGUUUGGGGGUCUUAGAACAGAGGAGUGGCCCGUCUGUCAUUGAGGGAGGCUUGGUCCAGGUGGCCUGACCUACUGUGGCCACGCUCUGUGACCUUGAGCCAGCCUUGCCUCUGAGCCGCACUCCCUGCAUCGGAGAAAAGAGGAAGUGACGAGUCGGGUGGUGACUGCAGUGACAACCGUAAUCGCCGACCUUUCCAGGUGCACCCCACGUGCCCCGGGUGGAGUGGCCACCCGCGCUCUCUCCUUGAACCCAACCCCAGCGAGACUCGUUCACUCGCUGGCUCAUUAACAGGUACCUACAACCACACUCCAGUUGCCGCGAAGAAACACACCUGUCCUUGCUCUCAUGGAACUUACAGUCUGCUUGGAAACAAAGAAUGAAAGUCGUAAAUCAGUAAAACAGGAAGAUCAAGCUGGGAAGGGGACUGGUGAGCAGUGGGGCUCGGGUCGCGUCUGCCAUUCAAAAUGAGGUGGUCAGGAAAAGCCGCAGGAGAAGGUGCCACUGAGCACAGACCUGAAGGAGCCGUGUGCAGACACAGGAACAGCCACUGCAAAGGCUCUGAGUCAGGGUGUUUGAGGAGCAGCGGGGGCCCAGUGUGACCACAGGCCAGUGGGCGAGGGCAAGGGUGACAGGAGAUGAGCCUUCAAAUGGCACUUGGCAGAGCCCGGGGGCUGCGGAGGUCUGGGACCCGCACGUGUGGGGCCCUGUGUCCACGGUGGGGACCUGGGCUUCACCCUGAGUGAGACGGAGUGUGAGGGAGGGCUGUAUUUGGGGCAGAGGAGCCACAUGCAGGGGUCACUCUCGAAGGAGGAGGGGAGGAAGCGAGCAGUGGUCAGGUUAGGGUGCAUCCUGAAAGUGGAAUGGACAGGAAGUGCUGCAGGGUUGGAGGGGAUGUCAGAGGAAGACGGGGUCAAGGGUCACACCAGGUGUUGGGAGGAGCGACUGGCGGGGGAGUUUCCACUGACUGAGAUGGGGAACCACAAAGAUGCCGGCUGUGGAAGCGUCAGAUGCCUGAAGCCUCUCGGCCGUGGGGCGGAGAUGACCAGGAGGCAGUGGGUGCGACUCUGGGGUCAGAGCACAGUCUGGGCUGGCGUGGGCCACUGUGCACACGGUGUUUGUAUCUCCGAUCCCCGAGGAAGUGGGUGUAGACAGAAGCCCUGGGCCCCCGGAGGGAGAGGCUGGCAGGUGAGGAGGACCCCGCUGAGGACCAGGAGAGCAGACAGCCAAGGGGCGGGAGGAGAAGCAGCGAUGGAGGCCCCCAGAGAGGCAGGGAUGACUUGUGACAAAAGGCCAGUAAGAGGAACCCCGAAAAGUGACACAGAUUUAGCCACAUAGAGGCCGUCGGUGACCCUGACCAGAGUGGCUCUGGCGGAAUAGUGGGGACAAAAACCCGACUGAAGUGGAGAGACGAGGAGCGGAGGCAGCCCGCUCUUGCCGAUGAGGCCUGGACUCUUUCAACGACUCGUGCCCUAAAGCACGACAGAGAGCCUGGCUGUGCAGGCCGACGGGAUGUGGACAGGGUUUUCUUUCGUUGUUUGCUUGAAGGUGGGAGAAGUUUGAGCAUAUUUUUAGGCUGUUGAGAAUGAUCCUGGAAAGGGGAUAAAAUUACUGAUGCCGGAGAGAGAAGACCUGCUGGUGCGAAGUGUUUGUGUGGGUGAAAGGGGCCGGCAUCGAAGCUCAGAUGGACACGGCUUAAAUAGGCUACAAAGAAAGAAACUGAGGCCCAGAGAGGUGAAGUGACCUCCCCUGGGACCCACAGAAUUUUCCAUGUAAUGUUUUUGGACCAUGGUUGACCACAGGUAACUGAAACCAUGGAAAGCGAAACCGCAGAAAGUGGGGGCGGCUGUGUCUGUGACCUGUGCACACACACAUGGGUGUACGUGGAUGAGCCUGCGUGUGCGCUGUUUGGGUGGGCAAUCACUCGAGAGGGCAGAGGGUGGAGACGGCGAGCUUCAGCAUGGACCUGCAUGGUCAGCAGAGGGUGCCCGCCUCCUCGUCCCUGCCCACCCCACUACAGAGGCCCGGGGCUGGCCGUGAGGCCUGUACCAACGGCUGAUACCUACUGUGGAGGUAGAUUCUCGCCUCGGUUGAAAGAUGAGGUAGGGUACAGACCGUGGAAUAUUAUUCAGCCUGGAAAAGGAAGGACAUUCUGACACCUGCCACAACAUGCAUGAACUCUGAGGACCCCAUAUGCAGUGAAAUAAGCCAGUCACAAAAGGACGAACUUUGCACGAUGCCACUCACAUGAAGCCUCUCGAGGAGUUAAACUCACGGAGACAGAGAGUGGAACGGUGGUGGCCGGGGGCUGGGGGAGGAGGUGGUGGGGGUCUUGUUUAAAGGGGACUGAGUGUAAACUUUGUAAGAGGAAAGCGUUCUGAGGAAGGAUGGUAUGACCGCCGCACGACAUUGUCAGUGUACUUAGUGCCGCUGAACUGGACACUUACAAAUGGUCAAGAUGGUGCAUUUCGUGAGAGGGGUGUUUUACCACAAUAAUACAAAAACAGACAGGUGGACCCCAGAGGAGUUCUUGCCUGAGG
This 3090-nucleotide long non-coding RNA is filed under the name Equus caballus (horse). RNAcentral describes it as "lncRNA (ENSECAG00000058318.1)". The record is from RNAcentral. Lineage: Eukaryota; Metazoa; Chordata; Mammalia; Perissodactyla; Equidae.